Molecule: ribosomal RNA, 700 nt
Filed under: Chryseomicrobium palamuruense
Lineage: Bacteria; Bacillati; Bacillota; Bacilli; Caryophanales; Caryophanaceae
Description: bacterial SSU rRNA
Rfam family: Bacterial small subunit ribosomal RNA
Source: RNAcentral
CUUCUGAUUCAGCGGCGGACGGGUGAGUAACACGUGGGCAACCUGCCCUGUAGAUUGGGAUAACUCCGGGAAACCGGGGCUAAUACCGAAUAAUCCUUCGGACCUCAUGGUCCGAUGUUGAAAGACGGUUUCGGCUGUCACUACAGGAUGGGCCCGCGGCGCAUUAGCUAGUUGGUGAGGUAACGGCUCACCAAGGCGACGAUGCGUAGCCGACCUGAGAGGGUGAUCGGCCACACUGGGACUGAGACAGGCCCACACUAAUACGGGAGGCAGCAGUAGGGAAUCUUCCACAAUGGACGAAAGUCUGAUGGAGCAACGCCGCGUGAGUGAAGAAGGUUCUCGGAUCGUAAAACUCUGUUGUGAGGGAAGAACAAGUACCGGAGUAACUGCCGGUACCUUGACGGUACCUCAUUAGAAAGCCACGGCUAACUACGUGCCAGCAGCCGCGGUAAUACGUAGGUGGCAAGCGUUGUCCGGAAUCAUUGGGCGUAAAGCGCGCGCAGGCGGUCCCUUAAGUCUGAUGUGAAAGCCCACGGCUCAACCGUGGAGGGUCAUUGGAAACUGGGGGACUUGAGUGCAGAAGAGGAAAGCGGAAUUCCAAGUGUAGCGGUGAAAUGCGUAGAGAUUUGGAGGAACACCAGUGGCGAAGGCGGCUUUCUGGUCUGUAACUGACGCUGAGGCGCGAAAGCGUGGGGAGCAA